RNAcentral lists this ribosomal RNA (555 nucleotides) under Pantoea agglomerans. Its description in RNAcentral is "bacterial SSU rRNA". It matches the Rfam family "Bacterial small subunit ribosomal RNA", at positions 558 to 1113 of the family's 1533-position model. Lineage: Bacteria; Pseudomonadati; Pseudomonadota; Gammaproteobacteria; Enterobacterales; Erwiniaceae. The record is from RNAcentral.
GCGUAAGCGCACGCAGGCGGUCUGUCAAGUCGGAUGUGAAAUCCCCGGGCUCAACCUGGGAACUGCAUUCGAAACUGGCAGGCUAGAGUCUUGUAGAGGGGGGUAGAAUUCCAGGUGUAGCGGUGAAAUGCGUAGAGAUCUGGAGGAAUACCGGUGGCGAAGGCGGCCCCCUGGACAGAGACUGACGCUCAGGUGCGAAAGCGUGGGGAGCAAACAGGAUUAGAUACCCUGGUAGUCCACGCCGUAAACGAUGUCGACUUGGAGGUUGUGCCCUUGAGGCGUGGCUUCCGGAGCUAACGCGUUAAGUCGACCGCCCGGGGAGUACGGCCGCAAGGGUAAAACUCAAAUGAAUUGGCGGGGGCCCGCACAAGCGGUGGAACAUGUGGUUUAAUUCCAUGCAACGCCAAAAACCUUACCUACUCUUGACAUCCAGAGAACUUAGCAGAAAUGCUUUGGUGCCUUCCGGAACUCUGAGACCGGGGCUGCAUGGCUGUCGUCAGCUCGUGUUGUGAAAUGGUGGGUUAAGUCCCGCAACGAGCGCAACCCUUAUCCUUU